Long non-coding RNA from Priapulus caudatus, 1216 nucleotides. RefSeq lists it as uncharacterized. NCBI's taxonomy places the organism in Eukaryota, Metazoa, Priapulida, Priapulimorpha, Priapulimorphida, Priapulidae. The record is from RefSeq and is a predicted model, not a curated record. The transcript has 3 exons.
UAUAUAUAUGAUACCCUUUCUUGUGACUUGUACAUAUACAUGUGACUCUCGGUCUGCGCUGCAGGCUUCACAUUCUCAGCGGGAGCGCACGCGUGUCUACAACACGUGUAUGUAAACAGCGAUGAUGUGCGAGUAAUGCGCGCACAUGUUUGAUCAGGUGGGCCGCAAAUUGCCGCGUGAGAGUUAUAGCUUUUAAAAUCAAACAGAACCUCGGAAUAUUGAACGGCUGUUGAUAUUUGAGGCGAAUAAAUAACAGGCUGUAUAUUGCCGUGACAGUACUUAGCGCGCAUCCUGCGAUCCCUUGCGUACUGUAUACUCGUGUUUUAGUUCACCAGGAAAAACUGCUCGGCUGUUUUUGCUAGCGUUCUGCAGUGUCAGGCCCCCAGGCUUACUGUUAUUAUUUUGGGGACUACAGGAGUGUCAGUUAUAAUCAGGCCACUCGGUUUGUUGUGUACGUGUUGGCUGUAACCCCCUAUGCUGCCUAGAAAAAACACGUGUUUAUCCACUCGUAAAUGUGUACUCAUCGGCUAUAUAUAGAUGUUGACUAUAACGUCGCAGUCUAAAAAUGUGUUUAUGUAUCUAUGCAUCAGUAGGAAAUAGGAUUUUGCUGGCCCAACAAUCACCGUAUGCGUAUACACCUCGUUGAUCCUGUUAAUACAAAGAAAAUACUAUUUGCUGGUAGGCUGACCAUGUAGCAGGGAUAACCAGGUAGCAGGAUAACCUGGGAUAACCAGGUAGCAUGGCAACAAGGGAUAACCAGGUAACAUGGAUAACCAGGUAGCAGGGCAACCAGGGAUAACCAGGUAGCAUGGCAACAAGGGAUAAUCAGGUAGCAGGGCAACCAGGGAUAACCAGGUAGCAGGGAUAACCAGGUAGCAUGGCAACAAGGGAUAACCAGGUAGCAGGGAUAACCAGGGAUAACCAGGUAGCAGGGAUAACCAGGUAGCAGGGCAACCAGAGAUAACCAGGUAGCAGGGAUAACCAGGAUCCUCGAGCAUUGCUAGAUUACCAGGGUCACCUGGAAUAGCUAAUUGCUGCCUAUAAGGCUCAGCUGAUUGUGAAGCUGAAUCACGUGUAUGCAUAUAUUAUACUGGAAAAAGUUGUUGUUCUAAACUCUGGCAUCGUAGAAUCGUAGAGUUGUAAAGUUGUUGUUCUCCACUCUGGCAUCGUAGAAUCGUAGAUUUGUAAAGUUGUUGUUCUCCGUCUGGCCUCGUAG